RNAcentral lists this ribosomal RNA (267 nucleotides) under uncultured bacterium. RNAcentral describes it as "partial 16S ribosomal RNA". It matches the Rfam family "Bacterial small subunit ribosomal RNA", at positions 86 to 354 of the family's 1533-position model. The record is from RNAcentral.
UGAUGGCGACCGGCGCACGGGGUGCGUAACGCGUAUGCAACCUACCUUUUACAGGGGCAUAACACUGAGAAAUUGGUACUAAUUCCCCAUAAUAUCUGAGACGGCAUCGUUUUGGGUUGAAAACUCCGGUGGUAAAAGAUGGGCAUGCGUUGUAUUAGCUAGUUGGUGAGGUAACGGCUCACCAAGGCGACGAUACAUAGGGGGACUGAGAGGUUAACCCCCACAUUGGUACUGAGACACGGACCAAACUCCUACGGGAGGCAGCAG